This 3955-nucleotide ribosomal RNA is filed under the name Triticum aestivum (bread wheat). Its description in RNAcentral is "partial small subunit ribosomal RNA". The record is from RNAcentral. Lineage: Eukaryota; Viridiplantae; Streptophyta; Magnoliopsida; Poales; Poaceae.
AAGUUUCUCUGGUCCCAUUCGUCGGUGGCCCUGGCUGCGCCUCUCGUCGCGGUCGGGAUUCGCCCGUGCGCUGCGCUCGCUCUACGGAACGUGCAAAAGGGUCAAAACCCUAGCCGCCAGCAGUUCUCGUCAAGCUCGCGCCCCCUCUGCCUCGUCUCCUCCCUGCUCCCUCCUCUCCCAUGACGCCGCCCUCGAGCCCGCGCCGCCUCCACCUCGUCUCCUCCCUUCUCCCUCCUCUACAACGCUGCCGCCCUCGAUGCGCCGUAAGGGACGCCGUUGACACGUCGGGGAUACGCAGCGGCGGAGCUCAGCCGAGCACAGCAGAAACCCACUCCUAACCCUAUUUGCUCGAUUGACAAGAGCAGGGCAACGGAUUGGAUCGAGGGCGCCCUGGCCUCACUGCCGCUGCACCUGGAUUCUCUAGCCGCUGCGUGGAGUCGCCCUGGCCACCGCGUCGAGUCACCUUCGUCGCCGCCGCGAGUCAGCUCCACUGUUGCCGCCAGGAAUCCCUUCCUGACAAGGUAACAUCCUCCAAAUCCCUGCUCUCCAUGGUCCUACUGCCCUGCUUGAUGUGUGUGUGGCUUCUAACUGGAGAGGGUCUCCGCCGGUGUCGGCCUGCACCGGUGAGGUCGGGCGCGACCUGGCUUCCAGGGCGGCUUGACUACAGUCUACAGGUGACCACGUCCCUUUUCUCCCCUUCUCUCGUAUGUAUCUCUCUAUGUUGUUUCUUAUCCUUCCUCACACGAAGAAACACACAGAGCAGUAAAAAAUGGGAGGAUUUGGGAGCUGCUCCGUUUUGGAUAUGGGGGCUGCACGGGCUUGGAGCAGCAAGCCAUGGCAACGAAGGAAAGUUCCUAGGGAUUUGAUUGAUGGAGGCAUCACUAUUUGGAGCUGGAUUAUCCAUUUUUGCAGCAUCAGCAAUGUUGUUUUCGUUUGGAAUGGCCAUUUCUCAAUUUCUAAAUCGGCUAUACUAUACUUCUUGUCAGGUUACAUUAUCUUGCUUGGUUUCAGUCUAUAUGUAGCACAGCAAUAGGUGACAUGGUUGGUUUGUAUGUUACACUAAGGAACACCACCAUAAGGAAAAGGGCAUUGCACUUUGUUUAUAUUUGGUCUGUUCCUAUUCAGUUUGCUGUAGUACUUGCUACACCAUUUGAAGUUUCUUACUGUUUGCUUCUUGCUGUUUCAUUGUAUUCAGUUAUGAUAUAUUUUUCAACUAUACAAGCACUUGGGUAAGUCAGGAAAACUGAACCAACGACAAACAUUUUACUGGUGAUGUUUUUUAUCUGAGAUGUGAAAGAUGCAUCUUGUCCCCUGAUAUAUUGGCUUAAUCUCUUGAUUUUUUCCCUGACAUGCUAAUAUAGAGCCAGAUAUGCAUGAUUCAUCAUACACAUUACAGCCAAUUAUCCAUUGGUUCUUUUAUCCAUAGAGGUGAUUUUGUUUGGACCAUUAGUCUAGGUAGUGACAUUUUGAUCGAUAAGGCACAAGUUUAUUUUCUUUUUCACUCGGGCUACACUAAAGUAAGCAUCACCGUUAGUGAAAAGAAGGCAUACAAAUCAUGAAGUCUUUGCCUUGGCUAUGUGCCUCGUUUAGUUGUCACUUAUUUAUUUCUGGGAAGUUAUUAAAUUCUCAUCGAGCUUUCCUUAUGCUUUACAUUGCUAAAGAAGAAAUUUAAAUACGCAAUAUUUUUGAUAUCCGAGGAGGUGAGAGGAGAUGAAAAAGGGUUGUAAUGUGUAAGGUUGUACUUUGGCGCGUCUCUGGCCAAUGAUGGCUGGAUCCAUCUGACGCUCUUCCAAGCAGAGCAGUGCAGAUUUGCUGACUAGUACAACAUCUAAACCUUGGCUACUCUAGCUUCUUUUUACAUCUCUUAGUAUCAACAAAUAAGUUGGUUACAGUAUAUACUUGAAGAUUGCAUCAGGCACAAAAUGCUUGGCUAAUCAACCGGUUAAUUGAGUUGUGCCUACGAAGGAUCAGUAGAAUAGUUGGUUUCUUCUAAAAUAAAUGAGGAUUAGUUUGGUUGCCAUGUAACGGUAAGGCCAGAAUGGUGGUACUGAAAAGUGGUUCUGUAAUGGUCAUAUGAGUUGUGGAGUUGGAACUUGAUUCUUUUUAAGUUGGAGUGGCUAGGUUGUCUAUAUGUAUUGCAUUAUUUUUCUACGGCGUGCUGUUCUUUCUAAUGAUUUUUUUAAAAGUUUAGUAUUUAAGUUUACGGCAUUAUUCUGCGGCAUACUGUUCUUUCUACAACAUACUGUUAAUAUCUUAUUCUUUUCAACAUUACACGGUUAAAACCUUCUGUAUAAGAUCUUGCGCUUUCAACAUCUGCUCAUGGCGCUGUGCGUAUUCUGCCAUGAACUGUUUACAUUAGAGAGUUGUGGUACCUUCAUUUGUAUGAUUCCUUUUAGCUGAUGUUGGUUGCUCAUACUGACAAAAUGUGUGUUAACAAAUGAUUGCAGAGCAGCAGAGAAACGUGUUUCUACGAAUGUGCCAAAACUGAUGGAUUUAACUACAGGUAUUGCACUAUUAUUCUACAGGUAUCGUUGUAUUGCAUUAUCCAACUGUAAGUCUGUUCUAAACUCUAAGCCCGAUGUAAAUGUGAUGGAAGAUUGGGCCAUUUAAUUUGAACCAAAAAGGGUGAUAUGCUCUCAGUUGUUUGAAUCUGUCCAGACCUGAAAAUUAGAUAUACUUUGAAAGCUUGAUGUAUGAGUAGGAGAUAGUUGAUAAAGGUGUACUCUUGUAGGAGAUUAUUAGUUGAUUACCUGCUUCUAUGUGGUGAACAAAUGAGUAAGCAGUUUAGUUGAUAAAGGUGUAGGCAACACAGCAUUUUUGUUCCAUUUUUUGGUUUGUAAGUCAAGGAUGUUUAGCCUUUGUUGAAUAUGUUAAUUGUGAAACAGUUUUGAUGCAAUUUUUGAACCGUUCAGUCUGUUUUGUUUGUGCAGUUCAUGGUACCAUAUCUGCAGGCUACAUCUUGUGUAGAUUUGGCUACCACAUUAUAUGAUGUUGUUUCACUUUGCUCAGUCAAGGUUUCAGUAAAAAAAUGAAUUGAACAUAUUUUUGUAGACAUACAAAAACGGUCUGCAUUUUUUACAUCACCCUGACAUCCAAUUCAAACUAUAUUUUCUGCCUAGACUGUUGCAUACCUAUGAGAUCAUGGGAUAACUCAGACAUGAGCCGGUGUCCAGUGUGCAGUGAGGGUGAGUAAUGUGGCAUCAGCCUAUUGUGGACCUGUGUAUUAUACUCCUUCCGAUCAAAAUUAAGUGUCGUUGUUUUAGUUCAAAAACCACGACACUUAUUUUGGAUCGGAGGGAGAGCAUUUAAGAGAUUCCUUGCAUACACAUGAUUCAGAAAAGUACAGUGUGGGAUGCCAUUAUAAACUCAUGAAGUCUGAUCCUGGUAGUGACAUGAUUUACUCUGUUUGAUCAAAUAGGUCGAAGCCAAAGCUGUUCUUAUUGAAUCUCAUGAUGCCCCUGAUGCUUGCUGCUGUAAGCAAGAAAAUUGAGUACAAGUUUCAAUGUCAACCUGAGUUUUCAUUGUGGAUGUUUGAGAGUCAACCUGAAUUUUGAAAAGAACUUUUAGGAUGAUUAGCUAUAGUACUGUGACAAAUAAUCAGGAAAGAUAAUUUUGUAGGGUGAUCAUUGUCUUUCAUAAUAAUAUUAUAGCCGUCGGCCAAACAAUGAAGGUUGCACUACAACUACUCGACUACAAGUUUUAUGUGGAGUUUCUCUGUACAGCUUGCACGAACUCAGUGAGAUCAGGAAUCAUAAUUGCUCACAUUUUUUUCUCCUGAAACGGAUGUGUCAUCCCUGCAUUUUUUUUCUCGGAAUCAAGGAUGUUUCAAACAUUGUGUGUGAGCUCACCUUCAAAAUGUGGCAACAGACCAUGCCCAUAUAUGAUCAAACAAACCAAACAGACACGUGUAUACUGAACUGUCUUUAGAGACUUAAAUUUCCAUAGAAUUGUUUGC